GCCUGGCUAGUUUAUAUGGUAAAACAUCAGACUCUUAAUCUGAGGGCCCAGGGUUCCAAUCCCUGGUCAGACA
Molecule: transfer RNA, 73 nt
Filed under: Pelodiscus sinensis (Chinese soft-shelled turtle)
Lineage: Eukaryota; Metazoa; Chordata; Testudines; Trionychidae
Rfam family: tRNA
About the family: Transfer RNA (tRNA) molecules are approximately 80 nucleotides in length.
Source: Rfam by way of RNAcentral